UACGUAGGGGGCGAGCGUCAUCCGGAUUCAUUGGGCGUAAAGCGCUCGUAGGCGGUCCGUUAGGUCGGGAGUCAAAUCCGGGGGCUCAACCCCCGCCCGCUCCCGAUACCGGCGGACUUGAGUUUGGUAGGGGAAGGCGGAAUUCCAAGUGUAGCGGUGGAAUGCGCAGAUAUUUGGAAGAACACCGGUGGCGAAGGCGGGUCUCUGGGUAGUAACUGACGCUGAGGAGCGAAAGCAUGGGUAGCGAACAGG
RNAcentral lists this ribosomal RNA (252 nucleotides) under uncultured bacterium. Its description in RNAcentral is "partial 16S ribosomal RNA". It matches the Rfam family "Bacterial small subunit ribosomal RNA", at positions 524 to 776 of the family's 1533-position model. The record is from RNAcentral.